Molecule: ribosomal RNA, 624 nt
Filed under: Lactococcus lactis
Lineage: Bacteria; Bacillati; Bacillota; Bacilli; Lactobacillales; Streptococcaceae
Description: bacterial SSU rRNA
Rfam family: Bacterial small subunit ribosomal RNA
Source: RNAcentral
GUUGGUACUUGUACCGACUGGAUGAGCAGCGAACGGGUGAGUAACGCGUGGGGAAUCUGCCUUUGAGCGGGGGACAACAUUUGGAAACGAAUGCUAAUACCGCAUAAAAACUUUAAACACAAGUUUUAAGUUUGAAAGAUGCAAUUGCAUCACUCAAAGAUGAUCCCGCGUUGUAUUAGCUAGUUGGUGAGGUAAAGGCUCACCAAGGCGAUGAUACAUAGCCGACCUGAGAGGGUGAUCGGCCACAUUGGGACUGAGACACGGCCCAAACUCCUACGGGAGGCAGCAGUAGGGAAUCUUCGGCAAUGGACGAAAGUCUGACCGAGCAACGCCGCGUGAGUGAAGAAGGUUUUCGGAUCGUAAAACUCUGUUGGUAGAGAAGAACGUUGGUGAGAGUGGAAAGCUCAUCAAGUGACGGUAACUACCCAGAAAGGGACGGCUAACUACGUGCCAGCAGCCGCGGUAAUACGUAGGUCCCGAGCGUUGUCCGGAUUUAUUGGGCGUAAAGCGAGCGCAGGUGGUUUAUUAAGUCUGGUGUAAAAGGCAGUGGCUCAACCAUUGUAUGCAUUGGAAACUGGUAGACUUGAGUGCAGGAGAGGAGAGUGGAAUGUCCAUGUGUAGCGG